Molecule: ribosomal RNA, 301 nt
Filed under: uncultured bacterium
Lineage: Bacteria
Description: partial 16S ribosomal RNA
Rfam family: Bacterial small subunit ribosomal RNA
Source: RNAcentral
CAGUCGCCGCGGGAAUACAGAGGUCUCAAGCGUUGUUCGGAUUCAUUGGGCGUAAAGGGAGCGUAGGCGGUCGGGUAAGUUGGAUGUGAAAUCCUGGGGCUCAACCUCAGAACUGCAUUCAAUACUGCUUGGCUAGAGUACUGGAGAGGUGAGUGGAAUUCACGGUGUAGCAGUGAAAUGCGUAGAUAUCGUGAGGAAGACCAGCGGCGAAGGCGGCUCACUGGACAGUUACUGACGCUGAUGCUCGAAGGCCAGGGGAGCAAACGGGAUUAGAUACCCCCGUAGUCCCUGUCUCUUAUAC